CUGCCUGCCCAGUGACUAUAUGUUCAACGGCCGCGGUAUUCUGACCGUGCGAAGGUAGCGUAAUCACUUGUCUUUUAAAUAAAGACUGGUAUGAAUGGCCUCACGAGAGCCUUACUGUCUCCCUUAUUUAAUCAGUGAAAUUGAUCUUCCCGUGCAGAAGCGGGAAUUUUACCAUAAGACGAGAAGACCCCAUGGAGCUUAAAACUAAAAACCAUCUGCUUAAACAUUCCUCCUACGGGGUCACUUUUUAACAUUGCAGACAAUGGUCUAAGUUUUCGGUUGGGGUGACCACGGAGAAAAAUAAAUCCUCCUUGAUGAAUAAUUCAUUUAAACCACGAGCUACCGCUCUAAGUAUUAGAACUUCUAACUAAAUUGAUCCAAUAAUUUUGAUCAACGGACCAAGUUACCCUGGGGAUAACAGCGCAAUCCAUUUCAAGAGUCCAUAUCGACAAAUGGGUUUACGACCUCGAUGUUGGAUCAGGGUAUCCCAGUGGUGCAGCCGCUACUAAAGGUUCGUUUGUUCAACGAUUAAAACCCU
This 538-nucleotide ribosomal RNA is filed under the name Pelobates syriacus syriacus. RNAcentral describes it as "partial 16S ribosomal RNA". It matches the Rfam family "Bacterial large subunit ribosomal RNA", at positions 1854 to 2597 of the family's 2925-position model. The record is from RNAcentral. Lineage: Eukaryota; Metazoa; Chordata; Amphibia; Anura; Pelobatidae.